RNAcentral lists this ribosomal RNA (467 nucleotides) under uncultured bacterium. RNAcentral's name for it is "partial 16S ribosomal RNA". It matches the Rfam family "Bacterial small subunit ribosomal RNA", at positions 28 to 506 of the family's 1533-position model. The record is from RNAcentral.
GACGAACGCUGGCGGCGUGCUUAACACAUGCCAGUCGAACGGAAAGGCCCUGCUUUUGUGGGGUGCUCGAGUGGCGAACGGGUGAGUAACACGUGAGUAACCUGCCCUUGACUUUGGGAUAACUUCAGGAAACUGGGGCUAAUACCGGAUAGGAGCUCCUGCUGCAUGGUGGGGGUUGGAAAGUUUCGGCGGUUGGGGAUGGACUCGCGGCUUAUCAGUUUGUUGGUGGGGUAGUGGCUUACCAAGGCUUUGACGGGUAGCCGGCCUGAGAGGGUGACCGGCCAAAUUGGGACUGAGAUACGGCCCAGACUCCUACGGGAGGCAGCAGUGGGGAAUAUUGCACAAUGGGCGGAAGCCUGAUGCAGCAACGCCGCGUGCGGGAUGACGGCCUUCGGGUUGUAAACCGCUUUCGCCUGUGACGAAGCGUGAGUGACGGUAAUGGGUAAAGAAGCACCGGCUAACUACGU